AACGAACGCUGGCGGCGCGCCUAACACAUGCAAGUCGAACGAGAAGGCGUAGCAAUACGCUUGUAGAGUGGCGAACGGGUGAGUAAUACGUGGGUGACCUACCCUCGAGUGGGGAAGUAACCCGCCGAAAGGCGGGCUAAUGCCGCGUACGCUUCCGUCCUCACGGGGACGGAAGGAAAGCUGUACCGUGGGUACGGCGCUCAAGGAUGGGCUCACGUCCUAUCAGCUUGUUGGUAGGGGUAACGGCCACCAAGGCUACGACGGGUAGCUGGUCUGAGAGGACGAUCAGCCACACUGGCACUGCGACACGGGCCAGACUCCUACGGGAGGCAGCAGUGAGGAAUAUUGCGCAAU
RNAcentral lists this ribosomal RNA (354 nucleotides) under uncultured bacterium. Its description in RNAcentral is "bacterial SSU rRNA". It matches the Rfam family "Bacterial small subunit ribosomal RNA", at positions 29 to 372 of the family's 1533-position model. The record is from RNAcentral.